CCGAUGACUCAUAAAACAUAUUUUCUGUCUGUGCUUUAAAUGUAAGGAGAAUGCAUCCAUAUUGUAUAUCGGACAUGCAAGAUAUCCUUUGAUGCUCCAUCCAGAUAAGUUUUCAUAUAUAAAAAAAUCAUUUAUAGUCCAUAGAAUUGAAGCAUGCAACUUAAAAUUACUUCAACUCAUAGAAUCAUAUGUCUAUACCCUAUUUUCCCAUAGCUCCUUCAGAUCAUC
This 228-nucleotide long non-coding RNA is filed under the name Elaeis guineensis (African oil palm). Its description in RNAcentral is "long non-coding RNA (EGUI_LNC081240)". The record is from RNAcentral. Lineage: Eukaryota; Viridiplantae; Streptophyta; Magnoliopsida; Arecales; Arecaceae.